Molecule: unclassified non-coding RNA, 250 nt
Filed under: Basidiomycota sp.
Lineage: Eukaryota; Fungi; Basidiomycota
Description: partial contains small subunit ribosomal RNA, internal transcribed spacer 1, and 5.8S ribosomal RNA
Rfam family: Eukaryotic small subunit ribosomal RNA (bases 1-47)
Source: RNAcentral
AAAGUCGUAACAAGGUUUCCGUAGGUGAACCUGCGGAAGGAUCAUUAUUGAAUCCAAAGGAUGUUGCUGGUGCUUGUAAAAGUACAUGUGCACUCCACCUUUCAAAUCCACCUGUGCACUCAAUGUAGGCUCAGAUUAACUUCCGAGUCUAUGCUUUUUUACACACUAUAAUUAUUAUGGAAUGUCUGGGUUUUUGUUGCCCAAAAUAAUAAUAAUAAUACAACUUUCAACAACGGAUCUCUUGGCUCUC